This 452-nucleotide ribosomal RNA is filed under the name uncultured bacterium. RNAcentral describes it as "bacterial SSU rRNA". It matches the Rfam family "Bacterial small subunit ribosomal RNA", at positions 355 to 825 of the family's 1533-position model. The record is from RNAcentral.
UCGGGAAUUUUGGGCAAUGGGCGAAAGCCUGACCCAGCAACGCCGCGUGAAGGAUGAAGUAUUUCGGUAUGUAAACUUCGAAAGAAUAGGAAGAAUAAAUGACGGUACUAUUUAUAAGGUCCGGCUAACUACGUGCCAGCAGCCGCGGUAAUACGUAGGGACCAACCCCCGCGUUGUUCGGAUUUACUGGGCGUAAAGGGCGCGUAGGCGGCAAUUCAAGUCAUCUGUGAAAUCUCCGGGCUUAACUCGGAACGGUCAGAUGAUACUGCUUUGCUAGAGUGCAGAAGGGGCAAUCGGAAUUCUUGGUGUAGCGGUGAAAUGCGUAGAUAUCAAGAGGAACACCUGAGGUGAAGACGGGUUGCUGGGCUGACACUGACGCUGAGGCGCGAAAGCAAGGGGAUCAAACAGGAUUAGAUACCCCCGUAGUCCCUGAGCGGGCUGGCAAGGCGCAU